GUGCAUCCUUCCUAUCCCCAGAAUCCCUCAAUCCACCUGCAGCCACGCUGGCUCCUGCAUCCCUCCAUCUCUCCUUUCAUCCCUCCCUGCAUCCUCCCCAGGCUGGUGGGCCGCACCCGGCACUCCCACAUUCCCUCUGCAAUAGCCACACAAGCAUUUAACACAGUGCACUGCUUACGGUUACACAAAUCCCCCUUUCCUCAUUUCCUCCACAUUUACUUCAAGGGCAACAACUGGAAAAAAAGUUCUUCCUGCGCGCAAACAGCCCGUUUGAGGGCGAUAAACAAACAGCGCAGCCCCGCAGCUCACACGCAGCCGUGCUCUCCCCAUUCACAGCCCCCACCGCAUCCCGCAGCCCGGGGCACCCCGACCCCCACUCUCCCCGGCCCUGCAGCCGCCCACCGCCUCCAAGUUUGCCCGGGGAGCCGUCCCAGCCCCGCAGAGCCGGGGAAGCCCCGGCCGUCGCUCUGCACGGCCCCCAGCCCUCCCGGCGAACCCCGGCUGCCGCCUGGCCCCGGUGCCGGCCCCUUCGCCGGCGCCUCCCCACAGCGGCCCCGCGCUGAGUGGAGCGAAGCGGCGAGGCGGGACGGGCCGGGGACGGCGGACAGCCCUCGCUUCCCUCGGCGCCCACCUGCUCGCGGUGCCGCUGCCGGUGUCGCCGGGGCCGGGACCGGCGCGCUCCUCCCCGGGCAGAGGGCGCCAGAUCAGAAGUGGAUUUCAGGGGAGCAAGCUACAAGAAACACAAAAAAGCUGAUUUCUUCUUCUGUUCCUAUGACUUUGCCAUUGGGUUCCAAAAUCUCCUUACUUCCCAGGGGCAUAGGCGGAAAGUGUACAAGUGCUCACUUCCCAGUACUGAAUCCAAAGACACUCCUGGAAUGAGCAGUGCUACUGGAAGAGGCCAAGCUGUUUUGUGAAGGCUAGUGUGAUGAAAUCCAAUUAAAACAAAUGAAAUAAAAAUGUGUAUCACUCAAGAGAAGACCCCUUC
This 985-nucleotide long non-coding RNA is filed under the name Numida meleagris (helmeted guineafowl). Its description in RNAcentral is "lncRNA (ENSNMEG00000008058.1)". The record is from RNAcentral. Lineage: Eukaryota; Metazoa; Chordata; Aves; Galliformes; Numididae.